GGUAACACUGAAUGGAGGACCGAACCGACUUACGUUGAAAAGUGAGCGGAUGAACUGAGGGUAGCGGAGAAAUUCCAAUCGAACCUGGAGAUAGCUGGUUCUCUCCGAAAUAGCUUUAGGGCUAGCCUCAAGUGAUGAUUAUUGGAGGUAGAGCACUGUUUGGACGAGGGGCCCCUCUCGGGUUACCGAAUUCAGACAAACUCCGAAUGCCAAUUAAUUUAACUUGGGAGUCAGAACAUGGGUGAUAAGGUCCGUGUUCGAAAGGGAAACAGCCCAGACCACCAGCUAAGGUCCCAAAAUAUAUGUUAAGUGGAAAAGGAUGUGGCGUUGCCCAGACAACUAGGAUGUUGGCUUAGAAGCAGCCAUCAUUUAAAGAGUGCGUAAUAGCUCACUAGUCGAGUGACACUGCGCCGAAAAUGUACCGGGGCUAAACAUAUUACCGAAGCUGUGGAUUGUCCUUUGGACAAUGGUAGGAGAGCGUUCUAAGGGCGUUGAAGCAUGAUCGUAAGGACAUGUGGAGCGCUUAGAAGUGAGAAUGCCGGUGUGAGUAGCGAAAGACGGGUGAGAAUCCCGUCCACCGAUUGACUAAGGUUUCCAGAGGAAGGCUCGUCCGCUCUGGGUUAGUCGGGUCCUAAGCUGAGGCCGACAGGCGUAGGCGAUGGAUAACAGGUUGAUAUUCCUGUACCACCUAUAAUCGUUUUAAUCGAUGGGGGGACGCAGUAGGAUAGGCGAAGCGUGCGAUUGGAUUGCACGUCUAAGCAGUAAGGCUGAGUAUUAGGCAAAUCCGGUACUCGUUAAGGCUGAGCUGUGAUGGGGAGAAGACAUUGAGUCUUCGAGUCGUUGAUUUCACACUGCCGAGAAAAGCCUCUAGAUAGAAAAUAGGUGCCCGUACCGCAAACCGACACAGGUAGUCAAGAUGAGAAUUCUAAGGUGAGCGAGCGAACUCUCGUUAAGGAACUCGGCAAAAUGACCCCGUAACUUCGGGAGAAGGGGUGCUCUUUAGGGUUAACGCCCAGAAGAGCCGCAGUGAAUAGGCCCAAGCGACUGUUUAUCAAAAACACAGGUCUCUGCUAAACCGUAAGGUGAUGUAUAGGGGCUGACGCCUGCCCGGUGCUGGAAGGUUAAGAGGAGUGGUUAGCUUCUGCGAAGCUACGAAUCGAAGCCCCAGUAAACGGCGGCCGUAACUAUAACGGUCCUAAGGUAGCGAAAUUCCUUGUCGGGUAAGUUCCGACCCGCACGAAAGGCGUAACGAUUUGGGCACUGUCUCAACGAGAGACUCGGUGAAAUCAUAGUACCUGUGAAGAUGCAGGUUACCCGCGACAGGACGGAAAGACCCCGUGGAGCUUUACUGUAGCCUGAUAUUGAAAUUCGGCACAGCUUGUACAGGAUAGGUAGGAGCCUUUGAAACGUGAGCGCUAGCUUACGUGGAGGCGCUGGUGGGAUACUACCCUAGCUGUGUUGGCUUUCUAACCCGCACCACUUAUCGUGGUGGGAGACAGUGUCAGGCGGGCAGUUUGACUGGGGCGGUCGCCUCCUAAAAGGUAACGGAGGCGCUCAAAGGUUCCCUCAGAAUGGUUGGAAAUCAUUCAUAGAGUGUAAAGGCAUAAGGGAGCUUGACUGCGAGACCUACAAGUCGAGCAGGGUCGAAAGACGGACUUAGUGAUCCGGUGGUUCCGCAUGGAAGGGCCAUCGCUCAACGGAUAAAAGCUACCCCGGGGAUAACAGGCUUAUCUCCCCCAAGAGUUCACAUCGACGGGGAGGUUUGGCACCUCGAUGUCGGCUCAUCGCAUCCUGGGGCUGUAGUCGGUCCCAAGGGUUGGGCUGUUCGCCCAUUAAAGCGGUACGCGAGCUGGGUUCAGAACGUCGUGAGACAGUUCGGUCCCUAUCCGUCGUGGGCGUAGGAAAUUUGAGAGGAGCUGUCCUUAGUACGAGAGGACCGGGAUGGACAUACCUCUGGUGUACCAGUUGUCGUGCCAACGGCAUAGCUGGGUAGCUAUGUGUGGACGGGAUAAGUGCUGAAAGCAUCUAAGCAUGAAGCCCCCCUCAAGAUGAGAUUUCCCAACUUCGGUUAUAAGAUCCCUCAAAGAUGAUGAGGUUAAUAGGUUCGAGGUGGAAGCAUGGUGACAUGUGGAGCUGACGAAUACUAA
RNAcentral lists this ribosomal RNA (2147 nucleotides) under Staphylococcus aureus. RNAcentral's name for it is "partial 23S ribosomal RNA". It matches the Rfam family "Bacterial large subunit ribosomal RNA", at positions 755 to 2904 of the family's 2925-position model. The record is from RNAcentral. Lineage: Bacteria; Bacillati; Bacillota; Bacilli; Caryophanales; Staphylococcaceae.